CCUACGGGAGGCAGCAGUAAGGAAUAUUGGUCAAUGGAGGCAACUCUGAACCAGCCAUGCCGCGUGCAGGAAGAAGGCCCUAUGGGUCGUAAACUGCUUUUGUACCAGAGAAAACCCGAGUACGUGUACUCGGUUGAUAGUAUGGUAAGAAUAAGCAUCGGCUAACUUCGUGCCAGCAGCCGCGGUAAGACGAAGGAUGCAAGCGUUAUCCGGAUUCAUUGGGUUUAAAGGGUGCGUAGGCGGACUGAUAAGUCAGUGGUGAAAUCUCUCGGCUUAACCGAGAAACUGCCAUUGAUACUGUUAGUCUAGAGUAUAGAUGACGUUGGCGGAAUAUGACAUGUAGUGGUGAAAUACUUAGAUAUGUCAUAGAACACCGAUUGCGAAGGCAGCUAACGAAACUAUAACUGACGCUGAGGCACGAAAGUGCGGGGAUCAAACAGGAUUAGAUACCCUGGUAGUCCGCACCGUAAACGAUGAUUACUCGUUGUUGGCAAUAUGACCGUCAGCGACCAAGCGAAAGCGAUAAGAAUCCACCUGGGGAGUACGCCGGCAACGGNGAAACUUAAAUGAAAUUGACGGCNGAGAGNGCGACGGACGACGACGAGGGAGGAGG
RNAcentral lists this ribosomal RNA (613 nucleotides) under uncultured bacterium. RNAcentral describes it as "bacterial SSU rRNA". It matches the Rfam family "Bacterial small subunit ribosomal RNA", at positions 338 to 951 of the family's 1533-position model. The record is from RNAcentral.